CGAACGCUGGCGGCGUGCUUAACACAUGCAAGUCAAGGAAAAGCUUCGCUUCGGUGGAGUGGAAACUGGCGCACGGGUGAGUAACGCGUAUGCAAUCUGCCCUUAGUCCGGGGAUAACAUCUCUAACGAGGUGCUAAUACCCGAUAACGCAGCGGCACCGCAUGGUGACAGUUGUUAAAGUUUCGGUGACUAAGGAUGAGCAUGCGUCCCAUUAGGUAGUUGGUAAGGUAACGGCUUACCAAGCCAUUGAUGGGUAGCUGGUCUGAGAGGAUGAUCAGCCACACUGGGACUGAGACACGGCCCAGACUCCUACGGGAGGCAGCAGUGAGGAAUAUUGCGCAAUGGGCGAAAGCCUGACGCAGCAACGCCGCGUGCGGGAUGAAGGCCUUAUGGGUCGUAAACCGCUGUAGCAGGGGAAAAAUAUCCCGUUCGACGGGAUUGAUGGUACCCUGAAAGUAAGCCUCGGCUAACUAC
RNAcentral lists this ribosomal RNA (474 nucleotides) under uncultured bacterium. RNAcentral describes it as "bacterial SSU rRNA". It matches the Rfam family "Bacterial small subunit ribosomal RNA", at positions 30 to 504 of the family's 1533-position model. The record is from RNAcentral.